GAUGAACGCUGGCGGCGUGCCUAAUACAUGCAAGUCGAGCGAACAGACGAGGAGCUUGCUCCUCUGACGUUAGCGGCGGACGGGUGAGUAACACGUGGAUAACCUACCUAUAAGACUGGGAUAACUUCGGGAAACCGGAGAUAAUACCGGAUAAUAUAUUGAACCGCAUGGUUCAAUAGUGAAAGACGGAUUUGCUGUCACUUAUAGAUGGAUCCGCGCCGCAUUAGCUAGUUGGUAAGGUAACGGCUUACCAAGGCAACGAUGCGUAGCCGACCUGAGAGGGUGAUCGGCCACACUGGAACUGAGACACGGUCCAGACUCCUACGGGAGGCAGCAGUAGGGAAUCUUCCACAAUGGGCGAAAGCCUGACGGAGCAACGCCGCGUGAGUGAUGAAGGUCUUCGGAUCGUAAAGCUCUGUUAUUAGGGAAGAACAAAUGUGUAAGUAACUAUGCACGUCUUGACGGUACCUAAUCAGAAAGCCACGGCUAACUACGUG
This 497-nucleotide ribosomal RNA is filed under the name uncultured bacterium. RNAcentral describes it as "partial 16S ribosomal RNA". It matches the Rfam family "Bacterial small subunit ribosomal RNA", at positions 28 to 507 of the family's 1533-position model. The record is from RNAcentral.